RNAcentral lists this ribosomal RNA (253 nucleotides) under uncultured bacterium. RNAcentral describes it as "partial 16S ribosomal RNA". It matches the Rfam family "Bacterial small subunit ribosomal RNA", at positions 524 to 776 of the family's 1533-position model. The record is from RNAcentral.
UACGGGGGGGGCAAGCGUUGUUCGGAAUUACUGGGCGUAAAGGGCUCGUAGGCGGCCAACUAAGUCAGACGUGAAAUCCCUCGGCUUAACCGGGGAACUGCAUCUGAUACUGGAUGGCUUGAGUUCGGGAGAGGGAUGCGGAAUUCCAGGUGUAGCGGUGAAAUGCGUAGAUACUGGGAGGAACACCGGUGGCGAAGGCGGCUACCUGGACCGGUACUGACGCUGAGGCGCGAAAGCGUGGGUAGCAAACAGG